This is a long non-coding RNA of Panthera uncia (snow leopard), 826 nucleotides long. RefSeq lists it as uncharacterized. The record is from RefSeq and is a predicted model, not a curated record. The transcript has 3 exons. Lineage: Eukaryota; Metazoa; Chordata; Mammalia; Carnivora; Felidae.
CUCCAGCGACCAUACCAUUUAGAGCCACUCACAUACUUUGGCGGGACAGCACGCGAGGCAGCUGGAAAGAAAAUAUGAGGCAGAGAAGAAAUGAUACUGACUCUGUGAGGAAUUUGGUGGGAAGAGCAACCCCAUGGCACUAAGGUGCUUCACAGAAUAGGACAUACCAUCAUCUCCGUAUAAUCUCAGACUCACUCAUCACAAUGAAGAGGCUGGACAGUGUGAUCAAGAAUCACUUUCAACUUUAAAAUUAUUUUCAGUAAUACAAUGUCAAGAAUUGUUUUUCUAAGUAUAUGCACCCCUAUGUUUAUUGCAAUAAACAUAGCAAAGAUAUGGAAGCAGCCCAAGUGUCCAUCAAUAGAUGGAUGGAUAAGGAAAAUGUGGUAUAGAUAAUAAAAAAGGAAUAGCUCAGUCAUAAGAAAGGAUGAGAUCUUGCCAUCUGUGACAACAUGGAUGGACCUAGAGGGUAUUAUGUUAAGUGAAGUAAGUCAACAGAAAGCAAAUGCCAUCUGAUUUCACUUGGGAUCUAAAAAAUAGAAUCUAAAAAAUAAAACAAAUGAAUGAACAAACAAAAAGGCAAAAACAGACCCAUAAAUACAGAAAACAUGGUUGCCAGAGGGGAGGGUAGUGGGAGUACUGGCAAAAUGAAUGCAAGGAAGUGGGAGAUAUAAGCUUCCAGUUAAGGAAUGAAUAAGUCACGAGGAUAAAAGGAACAGCAUAGGGAAUAUAAUCAAUGACACUGUAAUGGCAUUGUAUGGUGGCAGAUGGCAGCUACACUUGUGGUGAGCAUGAGAUAACAUAUAGACUUAUCCAAUCUCUAUGUUGU